UACGAAGGGGGCUAGCGUUGUUCGGAAUCACUGGGCGUAAAGGGCGCGUAGGCGGCCAUAUAAGUCGGGGGUGAAAGCCUGUGGCUCAACCACAGAAUUGCCUUCGAUACUGUAUGGCUCGAGACCGGAAGAGGUAAGUGGAACUGCGAGUGUAGAGGUGAAAUUCGUAGAUAUUCGCAAGAACACCAGUGGCGAAGGCGGCUUACUGGUCCGGUUCUGACGCUGAGGCGCGAAAGCCAGGGGAGCAAACGGG
This 253-nucleotide ribosomal RNA is filed under the name uncultured bacterium. RNAcentral describes it as "partial 16S ribosomal RNA". It matches the Rfam family "Bacterial small subunit ribosomal RNA", at positions 524 to 776 of the family's 1533-position model. The record is from RNAcentral.